Long non-coding RNA from Limulus polyphemus (Atlantic horseshoe crab), 239 nucleotides. RefSeq lists it as uncharacterized. The transcript has 2 exons. NCBI's taxonomy places the organism in Eukaryota, Metazoa, Arthropoda, Merostomata, Xiphosura, Limulidae. The record is from RefSeq and is a predicted model, not a curated record.
GUGUAUGUUUAGAUAAACCAGCUGAUACAUGUAAUAACUGUAUUAAAAUUAUAAUUUAACAGAAAAGGAAGAAGAAGAAAAGAAGGAAGAACAGUCAGUAGAAUCCACCUCCAGCUGGUUGUCAAGAUUAAAUCCUUUUGGAUCUAGAUAAACAAUAUCUUCAGUCUGGUAGUAUGCAUAGCAGCACUUUAGAAAUUAUCAGAAGAGAUUUGUAAAUAAAAACUAUUACAAGACUCCAA